Lolium perenne is the source of this 1125-nucleotide long non-coding RNA. RefSeq lists it as uncharacterized. The record is from RefSeq and is a predicted model, not a curated record. Lineage: Eukaryota; Viridiplantae; Streptophyta; Magnoliopsida; Poales; Poaceae.
UGACCAGAAAAUCAAAUCGGCCAUGUAUUGGAUUCAACUGAAAUGCACAUAUUAUCUCCUUAUUCAAAUGCGGCUGCAAGUUCUUCUCCAUCCAGAAGAGUAUCGGGGAGCUGAAAUUGAUGUGAUUAUAUACUUCAAGUAAUUAUUUCUGUUUCUUAGUGCUCCAGUUUGCCGAAGCUUCUUUAGUUAAGAACCACCUCUUAACUUAAUAUUUCUCUUUCCUUUGACUUCAGAAGUUAAAGUAUGUUCUUAACGUAAUUCCUCUCUUGCUUUUGACUUAUGAAGUUACUAUGGUUCUUAACUUAGUUCUCUUACAUUUGACUCGAGUAGUUGAAUUCUGUUCUUGAUUCCUUGGAAGGCGUUGGUUAUUUCUCCGUUUGUGUGACCAUGGGGAACUUAUAUCAACCAACCAAUUACUUGGAUCUAUAUUUUGCGCCCAUGUUCUAUUAUUUGUAAUUUUUGUAUCAACCAAAGCACUAAGUUGCAUGGAACUCAGUUGUCCGCUCAUGUUGUUUCUGAAUCUCUAUCAUCUCAUGAGGGCUGUGGAAAUGAUGAUACUGAUGUGACUACAGACACAUUUACUGCAGAGUUCCAAGAGGCACCUCCCAUGCCACACUAUAAUUGUUUACUGCAUAUACCACAGGCAAUCUACAAUUUCCAUUUCAGGAUAUAUUUCGAGGUGAUGAGAUCGGACAUCCCAGAUCAUCUCCCUGCUUCGUAGGAGUGCCAUAUGGUGAAGUUUUAUGUGAUAACAACACAGGAGCUGCAAGCUUACCUGUUCAUUAUCUUGAUGGUUGCUUCUGAAGCGCACAUAUAGCUGGGGCAUUAGUCGAACAGUUCUGUAACAACAUUCUAUCUAUAUAAGUGCCAGUACCGUGUAAUCUGUCAGUACCAUCCAACUCUCCAGAUUUCCUAAACCCUCCUACUGUGAGCAUGAUAUAGACGUUGGGUUUGCCUGAUUGCUUCUGCUGGCUAGGCUUAGCCCAGCAAGCUCCCAAAUCCCUUUCAGUUGCCGAGGGACAUGUAAAUUAUAAGAUAUACAUUGGUUUUGUUCUCCACAAUGAACAUAUGUAACCUGAUCUAAACUGCGCAAAGAGUUCGGGAAACUUUGAGCAAUAUUACUAU